This 1285-nucleotide ribosomal RNA is filed under the name Staphylococcus warneri. RNAcentral's name for it is "bacterial SSU rRNA". It matches the Rfam family "Bacterial small subunit ribosomal RNA", at positions 40 to 1330 of the family's 1533-position model. Lineage: Bacteria; Bacillati; Bacillota; Bacilli; Caryophanales; Staphylococcaceae. The record is from RNAcentral.
CGGCNUGCUAAUACAUGCAAGUCGAGCGAACAGAUAAGGAGCUUGCUCCUUUGACGUUAGCGGCGGACGGGUGAGUAACACGUGGAUAACCUACCUAUAAGACUGGGAUAACUUCGGGAAACCGGAGCUAAUACCGGAUAACAUAUUGAACCGCAUGGUUCAAUAGUGAAAGGCGGCUUUGCUGUCACUUAUAGAUGGAUCCGCGCCGUAUUAGCUAGUUGGUAAGGUAACGGCUUACCAAGGCAACGAUACGUAGCCGACCUGAGAGGGUGAUCGGCCACACUGGAACUGAGACACGGUCCAGACUCCUACGGGAGGCAGCAGUAGGGAAUCUUCCGCAAUGGGCGAAAGCCUGACGGAGCAACGCCGCGUGAGUGAUGAAGGUCUUCGGAUCGUAAAACUCUGUUAUCAGGGAAGAACAAAUGUGUAAGUAACUGUGCACAUCUUGACGGUACCUGAUCAGAAAGCCACGGCUAACUACGUGCCAGCAGCCGCGGUAAUACGUAGGUGGCAAGCGUUAUCCGGAAUUAUUGGGCGUAAAGCGCGCGUAGGCGGUUUUUUAAGUCUGAUGUGAAAGCCCACGGCUCAACCGUGGAGGGUCAUUGGAAACUGGAAAACUUGAGUGCAGAAGAGGAAAGUGGAAUUCCAUGUGUAGCGGUGAAAUGCGCAGAGAUAUGGAGGAACACCAGUGGCGAAGGCGACUUUCUGGUCUGUAACUGACGCUGAUGUGCGAAAGCGUGGGGAUCAAACAGGAUUAGAUACCCUGGUAGUCCACGCCGUAAACGAUGAGUGCUAAGUGUUAGGGGGUUUCCGCCCCUUAGUGCUGCAGCUAACGCAUUAAGCACUCCGCCUGGGGAGUACGACCGCAAGGUUGAAACUCAAAGGAAUUGACGGGGACCCGCACAAGCGGUGGAGCAUGUGGUUUAAUUCGAAGCAACGCGAAGAACCUUACCAAAUCUUGACAUCCUUUGACCGCUCUAGAGAUAGAGUCUUCCCCUUCGGGGGACAAAGUGACAGGUGGUGCAUGGUUGUCGUCAGCUCGUGUCGUGAGAUGUUGGGUUAAGUCCCGCAACGAGCGCAACCCUUAAGCUUAGUUGCCAUCAUUAGUUGGGCACUCUAAGUUGACUGCCGUGACAAACCGGAGGAAGGGGGGGAUGACGUCAAUCAUCAGCCCCUUNGGAUUGGGCUACCACGGGCUAAAUGACAAUCAAAGGGCAGCAAACCGCNAGUCAGACAAUCCAUAAGNNGUNCCAUUCGAAUGAGCCGCACUCCCUACUGAACUGGA